GACGAACGCUGGCGGCGUGCUUAACACAUGCAAGUCGAGCGGUAAGGCCCUUUCGGGGGUACACGAGCGGCGAACGGGUGAGUAACACGUGGGUGACCUGCCCUUAGCUCUGGGAUAAGCCUGGGAAACUGGGUCUAAUACCGGAUAUGACUCCAUGACGCAUGUUGUGGGGUGGAAAGCCUCGUGCGGCUAGGGAUGGGCCCGCGGCCUAUCAGCUUGUUGGUGGGGUGAUGGCCUACCAAGGCGACGACGGGUAGCCGGCCUGAGAGGGCGACCGGCCACACUGGGACUGAGACACGGCCCAGACUCCUACGGGAGGCAGCAGUGGGGAAUCUUGCGCAAUGCACGACAGUGUGACGCAGCAACGCCGCGUGGGGAAGACGGCC
RNAcentral lists this ribosomal RNA (386 nucleotides) under uncultured bacterium. RNAcentral describes it as "bacterial SSU rRNA". It matches the Rfam family "Bacterial small subunit ribosomal RNA", at positions 28 to 416 of the family's 1533-position model. The record is from RNAcentral.